AAACUGGAGAUGGCGACCGGCGCACGGGUGAGUAACACGUAUCCAACCUGCCGAUAACUCGGGGAUAGCCUUUCGAAAGAAAGAUUAAUACCCGAUGGCAUAAUAGAACCGCAUGGUUUGAUUAUUAAAGAAUUUCGGUUAUCGAUGGGGAUGCGUUCCAUUAGGCAGUUGGUGGGGUAACGGCCCACCAAACCUUCGAUGGAUAGGGGUUCUGAGAGGAAGGUCCCCCACAUUGGAACUAAGACACGGUCCAA
Molecule: ribosomal RNA, 254 nt
Filed under: uncultured bacterium
Lineage: Bacteria
Description: partial 16S ribosomal RNA
Rfam family: Bacterial small subunit ribosomal RNA
Source: RNAcentral